This 1503-nucleotide long non-coding RNA is filed under the name Bemisia tabaci. Its description in RNAcentral is "lncRNA ENSSSA1UGG002524". The record is from RNAcentral. Lineage: Eukaryota; Metazoa; Arthropoda; Insecta; Hemiptera; Aleyrodidae.
GUUAGGACCUAGCAAAUCUGAAUCAGCUGGUCACUUCGCAACAGUCCGCGCUAUAAAGAGUUAGUGAGUUACCUGACGGAUUUUCACUUGUGUUGUUCCUGUCAAGAUCCUAAGGAAGAUGGGGAAACUGGAGUUGCUGAUUGUUGGCGCGGCGCUGAUGGCGACGGCGAGUGGGCUGUCCCUGCCGACGCUCAAGUUCUUCGGUGGGAAUGGCGAGGCCCAACCGGAGGCGGCCAAGCUGGAGUCGAGCAUGGAUGACGUGGACGCCGACGCCGGGAAAGCGGAGGCGGCGCCCGAGAAGAACGCCCUCGAGCACGACAACGUCUUCUCCACCCUCCACCUCCCCGGACUCCCCGGCAUCCCCCUCCCGCCAAUGCCCCCGUCCCGGCCUUCCUCCAACGCCCCCAGGUCAAGGCCACCAAAACCGUCAUCGUCGAGAUGACCCACUACGAGAAAACUCAUCCUGUUUGCUGGACAGUUGACCCUCAGAAACCACCCUGUGAUAGCCACGCAGAUGCUAGCAGCGAUGAUGUUGUUAUCAAGCCAACCGCCACUGUAACCCUUAUCAAGCCUACGGUUGGUCUGAAGAACCCGUUGCCAGUAGUGACCAAGAAGCCCGUUGUGAAACCGGUUGCCAGCGAGGAGGUCGUUGAGGAGGAGGAGGACGAAUCUGCGAGGGACGCCAUCCCCGCCGAGUCUCGCGAGGGACGCUACAUCCAGUUCGGAACCCCGGUCGUCACCGCCGGCGAUGAGGUCAAGAUCGACGAAGCUCCCAAGGACAACGUGGCCGCCGCCGAAGACGAAAAGGACGCCCGGAUCAUCUCCAAGCUCAUCGGCAGACACAACACCGUCUGGGAAACCAAGACCAUCUACGCCACCAAGACCGAAAAGGUUCAAGACCAUGCUACAGCUACUCUCAUCAUCGACAACUGCGUGCCGGUAGACUCCUCGAUCCCCAAGUGCAAGGCGAAGCAGCCGUUGGUAGACACCUACGGCCAGAACUACGAGGACCACUUCGACGAGAUCGAAGACGCCGACGGCGAGAAGGAAAAGGGGCGCCUCACCUUCCUCCAGAAGCUCAUCGCCCAGCAGGCCGCCCUCGCCGAGGGAGGCGCCCACUACGCCGCCCAACUGGCCGCCCAGCACGCCGCCUACCACGCCGCCCUCGCCCACAAGUUCCACUCGACCGCCGCUCAAAUCGCUCAGAACAACGCCAACAACGCCCUCGCCGCGGAGAACGCCGCCCUCGAGUCUGCUGCCCACCACCAGGAGGCCGAGCACGCCGCCCACGAGAACUUGGUCAAGAUCUUGAGCAAGUAUACCAAGAAAGGACAGCAGGAGGCAAUCAAGGAACAGGCUAUCAAGGAACAGGCAAUCAAGGAACAGACCACCACCAAGGCACCGGCCAAGAAACCGGCGACACCAGUAACAUCCGCUCCGGUGCCGGUGGUCCAGCCCGAACAAGAGGAUCGCUGGCGCAUCGUCGCUGAUUCCGAGGAAUAA